CGAGAUCGUCCUGUCUUCCGGUUUCUAAAUUAUUGUUGAUCGAUUUUCUUAGUUUGUUUUGUGUUGCGUUUGGAUAUCAAUGCUUUUCUGUGACAGAUCGGAGGAUAUCUGCGUUCUUCUUUCAAAAUCUGCGGUAAAUCGGGCUGAACUUGUGUUUCUCUCAGGGAAUCGGAUGAUAUUUUGCGUUCUUCUUUCAAAAUCUGCGGUAAAUCGGGCUGAACUUGUGUUUCUCUCAGGGAAUCGGAUGAUAUUU
RNAcentral lists this unclassified non-coding RNA (253 nucleotides) under Hevea brasiliensis (rubber tree). Lineage: Eukaryota; Viridiplantae; Streptophyta; Magnoliopsida; Malpighiales; Euphorbiaceae. The record is from RNAcentral.